RNAcentral lists this ribosomal RNA (658 nucleotides) under Albinaria discolor discolor. RNAcentral's name for it is "partial 12S ribosomal RNA". Lineage: Eukaryota; Metazoa; Mollusca; Gastropoda; Stylommatophora; Clausiliidae. The record is from RNAcentral.
GUCACUUUAAUUUGAUGAACUAUUCUCGUAAGCAAUAAAUAUGCUUAAAUAUGGAGUUUUAAGAACAUUUCCAGUUUAAAAUCUUAAUUAAAUAUAAGAAAUUAUAAUUUAGACAGUUUAUUAAUUUAGGUUUAUUAGGUGCCAGCAACCGCGGUCAGACCUAAUAGAUUAGUUUACAAGCUCAGUAAAUAUUAAAAGCUACUUAAAGUAUAUAAUACAUAGUGAAAUAUUAUUAUAGAUGUUAACCCAUAAAAGGCCUGUGAAAAUAAUAAACUCAUAUUUAAAACUAGGAUUAGAGACCCUACUAUUAUGAGCUCAACACAUACUUACUAAGAAAUAAAACUAUAGAGUUCAAACUUAAAAUUUAUGGCGGCUAAAUAAAAUACUUAGGGGAACUUACCAUAUAAUUGAUAGCCACCAAGUAUUAUAAUACUUACAUUAUAAAAUUUGUAUACCGUUGUCUUCAUAAACCCCUUUAAAGGGGUUUAUAAAUAUUAGUGUAAAGACUAAGACAAAUCAAGGUGCAGUCUAUUAGUAAGAAUUAAGGUGAGUUACAGUAAAGAAUUAUUUCGGAUUAUUCAAUGAAAAAUCAUAUAAAGAUGGACUUAAAAGUAAUAUAUAAGGAUAAUUAAAAUAUGAAUUUAUAUUAUUUGGUGUA